Molecule: long non-coding RNA, 1126 nt
Filed under: Rattus norvegicus (Norway rat)
Lineage: Eukaryota; Metazoa; Chordata; Mammalia; Rodentia; Muridae
Description: long non-coding RNA NONRATT033399
Source: RNAcentral
AGACGCACCAGAAGAGGGCAUCAGAUCCCCAUUACAGAUGGUUGUGAGCCACCAUGUGAUUGCUGGGAUUUGAACUCAGGACUUCUGGAAGAACAGUCAUUGCUCUUAACCACUGAGCCAUCUAGCCCAAUCUAGAAGAUUUUAAUGAAAGCAAAACCAGACUCAACAGAAAACUGGACGAUGCCAAUGUACGUCCUAUCCCUUUGGCUAAGUACCACAGCAGUCGGCAAGAGCAAGUGUGUGGUGAAAGGUGGAUCCAUUUUCUAGGAAACACUGGUGUGAUGUGAAAGCUCCAGCUAGUAUUAAAAACGUGAGGGAAACGACGGUCACAAGGGACUCAAGGAACCCAAACCGUAUCCGAUGGCCUCAAGGGCCCUGUGUUUGAAGUAAGCCUCGAUCUACAGAAUGAUGAAGUUGCACUUGGAAAAUGUAAGUGAGUUACUGAAGAUGUUCAGGGCAGAAACUGACUAACUUCCAUGACAUGGAUCUUGGGACAAAAUGUGCUCAUGGUCAAAAGCAGCAGACCAUGAUUGAUGCUCAUGUUGAUGUACGACGACCGUCUUACCUUUCCUGUCUGGACUUAUUCCCGUUACGGAUAAGGAGAGAUGAAGGUUCACACUUCGGGACUCCAGAAGACAGCAGAGGCUCAGUGUGUACUUGUCGGAUGAGUAAACAGAAUGUUUUAGACAAAGAGUGUUAUCUUGAUCUCUCAGUAAAGUACUUGGAAAGCUUAUACAAUUUGAAGUAUUUGGUUUUUUAGCAAAUGUAGGCUCUUCAAGGGUUAAAUGUUAGCAUUCAUGUGAAUUAAAGUAAAUGGGACACCAUGUUUACAACUCUAUCAUACUCAGCCUUUGGAUUUUUUUUUUUUUUUUUUUUUUUGGGUCUUUUUUUCAGAGCUGGGGACCGAACCCAGAGCCUUGCGCUUCCUAGGUAAGCGCUCUAAAGCACUGAGCUAAAUCCCCAGCCCCUCAGCCUUUGGAUUUAUAAGUCAUUGUUUUGUUUUGUUUUUUAAAUUUAGCCCAUUCAAAUACAUUAACUGUGGCAAAUAAUUAGACUCGAGAUUAGAAAUUCAGGAAAGGCACAUUGAUAUGCUAAGUAUUUUGACUGAAUGUGACAUCAGACUUAG